CAGAACGUAGUUUAGUUAAGAGCAUCGGCUUUGGGUGCCGAAGGUGUGAGUGUAAGUCUCGUCGUUCUGA
This 70-nucleotide transfer RNA is filed under the name Notoscopelus japonicus (Japanese lanternfish). Its description in RNAcentral is "tRNA-Pro". It matches the Rfam family "tRNA". Rfam says of the family: Transfer RNA (tRNA) molecules are approximately 80 nucleotides in length. Their secondary structure includes four short double-helical elements and three loops (D, anti-codon, and T loops). Lineage: Eukaryota; Metazoa; Chordata; Actinopteri; Myctophiformes; Myctophidae. The record is from RNAcentral.